GAUGAACGCUGGCGGCGUGCCUAAUACAUGCAAGUCGAGCGAAUGGAUUAAGAGCUUGCUCUUAUGAAGUUAGCGGCGGACGGGUGAGUAACACGUGGGUAACCUGCCCAUAAGACUGGGAUAACUCCGGGAAACCGGGGCUAAUACCGGAUAACAUUUUGAACCGCAUGGUUCGAAAUUGAAAGGCGGCUUCGGCUGUCACUUGUGGAUGGACCCGCGUCGCAUUAGCUAGUUGGUGAGGUAACGGCUCACCAAGGCAACGAUGCGUAGCCGACCGGGGAGGGGGAUCGGCCACACUGGGACUGAGAAACGGCCCAGACUCCUACGGGAGGAAGCAGUAGGGAAUCUUCCGCAAUGGACGAAAGUCUGACGGAGCAACGCCGCGUGAGUGAUGAAGGCUUUCGGGUCGUAAAACUCUGUUGUUAGGGAAGAACAAGUGCUAGUUGAAUAAGCUGGCACCUUGACGGUACCUAACCAGAAAGCCACGGCUAACUACGUGCCAGCCGCCGCGGUAA
This 515-nucleotide ribosomal RNA is filed under the name uncultured bacterium. Its description in RNAcentral is "partial 16S ribosomal RNA". It matches the Rfam family "Bacterial small subunit ribosomal RNA", at positions 28 to 523 of the family's 1533-position model. The record is from RNAcentral.